This 253-nucleotide ribosomal RNA is filed under the name uncultured bacterium. RNAcentral describes it as "partial 16S ribosomal RNA". It matches the Rfam family "Bacterial small subunit ribosomal RNA", at positions 524 to 776 of the family's 1533-position model. The record is from RNAcentral.
UACGUAGGUGGCGAGCAUUGUCCGGAUUUACUGGGCGUAAAGGGAGCGUAGGCGGACUUUUAAGUGAGAUGUGAAAUACUCGGGCUCAGCUUGAGUGCUGCAUUUCAAACUGGAAGUCUAGAGUGCAGGAGAGGAGAAUGGAAUUCCUAGUGUAGCGGUGAAAUGCGUAGAGAUUAGGAAGAACACCAGUGGCGAAGGCGAUUCUCUGGACUGUAACUGACGCUGAGGCUCGAAAGCGUGGGGAGCAAACAGG